RNAcentral lists this ribosomal RNA (467 nucleotides) under uncultured bacterium. RNAcentral's name for it is "partial 16S ribosomal RNA". It matches the Rfam family "Bacterial small subunit ribosomal RNA", at positions 28 to 507 of the family's 1533-position model. The record is from RNAcentral.
GACGAACGCUGGCGGCGUGCUUAACACAUGCCAGUCGAACGGAAAGGCCUCUUUCGGGGGGUACUCGAGUGGCGAACGGGUGAGUAACACGUGAGUAACCUGCCCUUGACUUUGGGAUAACUUCAGGAAACUGGGGCUAAUACCGGAUAGGAGCUCCUGCUGCAUGGUGGGGGUUGGAAAGUUUCGGCGGUUGGGGAUGGACUCGCGGCUUAUCAGCUUGUUGGUGGGGUAGUGGCUUACCAAGGCUUUGACGGGUAGCCGGCCUGAGAGUGUGACCGGCCACAUUGGGACUGAGAUACGGCCCAGACUCCUACGGGAGGCAGCAGUGGGGAAUAUUGCACAAGGGGUGGAAGCCUGGUGCAGCAACGCCGUGUGCGGGAUGACGGCCUUCGGGUUGUAAACCGCUUUCGCUCAUGACGAAGCUUUGUGUGACGGUAGUGGGUAAAGAAGCACCGGCUAACUACGUG